AUGACUGGCAACAUCAAACUAUUGCAGAAUAAACUUGAUGAAGUCAUUGGACAAAAAUGGUUUUUACUUGUUCCCGAUGAUGUAUGGAAUGAAGAUAAGAGAAUGUGGGAGGAUGAACUGAAGCCACUAUUGUGUUCUGUUGGUGGACCAGGAAGUGUUAUAGUGGUCACAUGUAGAAGCAAACAAGUGGCCUCUAUAAUGUGCACUGCCAAGCCCCACGAGCUAGUAUUUCUGAGUGAAGAAGACUCGUGGGAAUUGUUUUCGAACAAAGCAUUUAGCAAUGGCGUUGAUAACCAACCAGAGUUGGUCGCCAUCGGAAGGCGUAUUGUCAAUAUAUGUGGGGUUUGCCUCUUGCUCUUAAGACGAUGGGCGGAUUGCUGA
This 381-nucleotide ribosomal RNA is filed under the name Triticum aestivum (bread wheat). RNAcentral describes it as "partial small subunit ribosomal RNA". The record is from RNAcentral. Lineage: Eukaryota; Viridiplantae; Streptophyta; Magnoliopsida; Poales; Poaceae.